UACGUAGGGGGCAAGCGUUGUCCGGAUUUAUUGGGCGUAAAGAGCUCGUAGGUGGUUCGGUAAGUCGGAUGUGAAAUCUCCAGGCUCAACCUGGAGGGGUCAUUCGAUACUGCCGUGACUAGAGUUCGGUAGGGGAGUGUGGAAUUCCUGGUGGAGCGGUGAAAUGCGCAGAUAUCAGGAGGAACACCGAUGGCGAAGGCAGGUCUCUGGGCCGAUACUGACGCUGAGGAGCGAAAGCGUGGGGAGCGAACAGG
RNAcentral lists this ribosomal RNA (254 nucleotides) under uncultured bacterium. RNAcentral's name for it is "partial 16S ribosomal RNA". It matches the Rfam family "Bacterial small subunit ribosomal RNA", at positions 524 to 776 of the family's 1533-position model. The record is from RNAcentral.